UUACGGCCACAUCAUGUUGGAUCAACGGCCCUUGUAUGAUAGCCGAAAUUAAGCAACGUCGAGCUAAGUCAGUACUUGGAUGGGUAACUGCUUGGGAAUACCAGGUGCUGUAAU
Non-coding RNA from Acanthosepion pharaonis, 114 nucleotides. Lineage: Eukaryota; Metazoa; Mollusca; Cephalopoda; Sepiida; Sepiidae. The record is from the annotation of a GenBank genome assembly.